UGAGAAGUGGCUGCUGAAUUUGAUUCAGAGUCAAUGCAAUGCCCCUUCCUCCUGAUUCAGUUUCGCUAUGAGAAAAUGCAGGCCCACAUCUUUGUGGAGAAUGCCAGCAUCGCCUAGGCACUGAAGAAUGUCAGUGGCAAGAUUAGGGAUGAGGAUAACAAAAAGAUGUCAAUCUUUGUCAACCCCACUGAUACCCCCUGCAGAGAAAGCUGAAGUCGGAAAAGGCAAAGCAGAUAAAGCUGAUGGUGAAGAAGCGAUGUGAUUCCUCCCAGUCCAGUCUUGACAGCCAGAGACUCCCGUUUGACCCAGACCUGGUGACCAGUGACUCUAAGACGGCAUCGAAACCUAGAAAGUGCAUGGCUGCCUUUCUGCACGUCCUCCAAGACAACAUGCCUGAGGCGGAGUCUGUAGGACAGAUGGACAGGGGAAAGGGCUGGAGCCAGGAGACGUGUGCAGACAGGAACUUCCUGUCUACCACUUUCCCGGACAAACAAGUCUAGCAACAUAACCUCCAUCCUGGAAUUGUUCCCCAAAUUAUUAUGCCUGGAUGGUCAGCCAUCACCUAGACCAACUCUGUGUGGUAUUGAAGCCCUCAAGGUUACCAACUUGCAAGGGAAGCUUCUUUGGAUGUGACAUGCUGCAGAACCUGCUCCUGCAAUUUCUGCACUGCUUACCAUGACGGGGCCUGCCUCUGCCUGACCACUCCCCUCACCCAGAGAAACCAGCCUG
RNAcentral lists this long non-coding RNA (729 nucleotides) under Homo sapiens (human). RNAcentral describes it as "non-protein coding lnc-NLRP12-5:1". Lineage: Eukaryota; Metazoa; Chordata; Mammalia; Primates; Hominidae. The record is from RNAcentral.